CGCUAGCUACAGGCUUAACACAUGCAAGUCGAGGGGCAUCAGGAAGAAAGCUUGCUUUCUUUGCUGGCGACCGGCGCACGGGUGAGUAACACGUAUCCAACCUGCCCUUUACUCGGGGAUAGCCUUUCGAAAGAAAGAUUAAUACCCGAUAGCAUAAUGAUUCCGCAUGGUUUCAUUAUUAAAGGAUUCCGGUAAAGGAUGGGGAUGCGUUCCAUUAGGUUGUUGGUGAGGUAACGGCCCACCAAGCCUUCGAUGGAUAGGGGUUCUGAGAGGAAGGUCCCCCACAUUGGAACUGAGACACGGUCCAAACUCCUACGGGAGGCAGCAGUGAGGAAUAUUGGUCAAUGGGCGCUAGCCUGAACCAGCCAAGUAGCGUGAAGGAUGAAGGCUCUAUGGGUCGUAAACUUCUUUUAUAUAAGAAUAAAGUGCAGUAUGUAUACUGUUUUGUAUGUAUUAUAUGAAUAAGGAUCGGCUAACUCCGUGCCAGCAGCCGCGGUAAUACGGAGGAUCCGAGCGUUAUCCGGAUUUAUUGGGUUUAAAGGGAGCGUAGGUGGACUGGUAAGUCAGUUGUGAAAGUUUGCGGCUCAACCGUAAAAUUGCAGUUGAUACUGUCAGUCUUGAGUACAGUAGAGGUGGGCGGAAUUCGUGGUGUAGCGGUGAAAUGCUUAGAUAUCACGAAGAACUCCGAUUGCGAAGGCAGCUCACUGGACUGCAACUGACACUGAUGCUCGAAAGUGUGGGUAUCAAACAGGAUUAGAUACCCUGGUAGUCCACACAGUAAACGAUGAAUACUCGCUGUUUGCGAUAUACAGUAAGCGGCCAAGCGAAAGCAUUAAGUAUUCCACCUGGGGAGUACGCCGGCAACGGUGAAACUCAAAGGAAUUGACGGGGGCCCGCACAAGCGGAGGGACAUGUGGUUUAAUUCGAUGAUACGCGAGGAACCUUACCCGGGCUUAAAUUGCAGUGGAAUGAUGUGGAAACAUGUCAGUGAGCAAUCACCGCUGUGAAGGUGCUGCAUGGUUGUCGUCAGCUCGUGCCGUGAGGUGUCGGCUUAAGUGCCAUAACGAGCGCAACCCUUAUCUUUAGUUACUAACAGGUUAUGCUGAGGACUCUAGAGAGACUGCCGUCGUAAGAUGUGAGGAAGGUGGGGAUGACGUCAAAUCAGCACGGCCCUUACGUCCGGGGCUACACACGUGUUACAAUGGGGGGUACAGAAGGCAGCUAGCGGGUGACCGUAUGCUAAUCCCAAAAUCCUCUCUCAGUUCGGAUCGAAGUCUGCAACCCGACUUCGUGAAGCUGGAUUCGCUAGUAAUCGCGCAUCAGCCACGGCGCGGUGAAUACGUUCCCGGGCCUUGUACACACCGCCCGUCAAGCCAUGGGAGCCGGGGGUACCUGAAGUACGUAACCGCAAGGAUCGUCCUAGGGUAAAACUGGUGACUGGGGCUA
This 1446-nucleotide ribosomal RNA is filed under the name uncultured organism. RNAcentral's name for it is "SSU rRNA". It matches the Rfam family "Bacterial small subunit ribosomal RNA". The record is from RNAcentral.